UUUUAUGUAAAAUUGUUAGCAAUGUUAUUAAACCCGACCCGCAUAAUGAACCAGACUACUUUCUGGGUCAUUAGGUCAUCGGGUUAACUAAUUAAAAUUAUAUAUAUGAAAGUUGGUCAACUCUUUCCAUAUGAGUGACACAUCAUCACACUAGUGAAUGUCAUAUGUCAUUCUAAAUUAAUAUUAUU
RNAcentral lists this small RNA (188 nucleotides) under Arabidopsis thaliana (thale cress). RNAcentral describes it as "ATSL216810". The record is from RNAcentral. Lineage: Eukaryota; Viridiplantae; Streptophyta; Magnoliopsida; Brassicales; Brassicaceae.